ACCUCCAGGAUUUCUCCAUAUGCGGGGGAGUGGUGGGUGGAAUAUAGAAACAGGAAACGUGCAACCAAGGAAGCGUCAGAGACUCCUUUCAUUGCAGUGCUUAAAAAAGCUUUGCCUCAUGUACCCAGAAAGUUGAAGGAGUCCAAGCUUCCUUUUUCAGAAGCCUGCUAUGUGAUGAAUGGAGCAUUUACUCUCAAAUGCUUAUAUCCUGGACAUUUUAUUUCUCUCUAAAGUGAUACUAAUUUAGCUGAUCUAUCACCAACAUCUCUGCUUAUGCCUGUUAUGGGACUCAGUAAUCUUACAAAAGAAUUCUGCAUCUGGUUUAUCUAAUUCCUUUUUCUGCAUUUUUGGAUAGAGGGCACGACGAUGGCAAAGCAAUGUAACAGAAGGAAGCUUCAGCUUUGCAAUACUUGAGAUUUGAAAUUAGAGUAUAUAACCACUCUUAACAGCCAUAUAUAGGACCGCUAUAAACCGCAACCGGAAGUGCUGUACGAAAACGAUUGAGACUGUCCCCGGUACAGCAUGUCUCUGAGCGCUGACUCUAAGCCCAGCUGGCGGAAUUAUCGCGAUAUAUGAGGGAAAGUAGCGCUGAAAAUGGUCAAAAGGUGACCGUCCGAAAGAGGGAUUAUAGGAAGGUGCCAGCAAACCACGUGACUGAUAGAACACGCGUCGAAGGGUUCUGGAACGUGCUGGGAGGAAAGGAAAAAUGUUCCGCUUUUGGCUAUCCGAUAUCUUUUCUUUUUGGACUGCCUCUCCCCCUAUGCACUACCACAACUCUUCAUGGAUCAGGGCCAGGUCUUCUACCGGGUGCCAACCUGCAAAGCGUUUUCCUGCCAUUCACCGUCCUAACCAAACCAUUUUGGGAAGCAGAACUGCAUAGCACCGCCACAGAUGCAUUACUGGCAGGUCCCACCCAUGGUAGGUGGCCCUCAGGAUGACUCUGCCAUCUGGGUGAAUAUUGAAUGGGAGUUCCGGAACUAUAAAAUAUUGUCUCUGUUUUUCUCAGACCUCAAUUGUGUUUAAAGCAUAUGUAUUAUUUAUGCAGGGCCUGUUAUGUUAAGUUUCUCAUAUUCAUUCUUCCAAUGAAUGCUUUCCAAUUAGUUAUGUGUUCAGGUAAAUUAUGUUGGUUUCAUUGGGUUUUACAUACAAUACAGCAUUGCUUGGAGGUAAACAAUUUCCCAAUGUAAUCUGGAAUAAAGGAAGCUCAGUUGUCCUUCAUCCCUAGCUUGGUGUAUGUGUGGAUUUGAAUCUGACAUUUUUACCCACAUUUUUGCCCACCAAAUUUUUUUCAAAUAUAUUUUGCAACUUUCUCCCUUUGUUUUAAUGGGAAUUGUUUAAAAUAUGCAUAGAAACUUUAGGAAGGAGGUUAAUUUUUAUUGUCGUUAUUUUAUAUAUUCAUGAAAUACUUCAUUUACUCCUUAAGAUAUUUGUUUUUUAUCAGAUCCAUCAGUUUCAUGUCCUUUUGUCAUGAUGUUAACUUUUAAGUACUUCCUAUGGCACUGUGCCAGAGAUGCAGGGUGAAGUCCCACAGCAUGUAGGAUUUACCUAAUGUGAUCUAGAGGCCUGUUUGGUUUCUAUGUGUUACUUAACGAUGGCUUUGUAAUAUUUUCCAUCUGUAAUUAAACAAGUUUUAAUUCAUUUUCUUACCCUUUAUAUAAAUAAAUUGGACUAGCUCAUCCAAUUAUA
Sphaerodactylus townsendi is the source of this 1686-nucleotide long non-coding RNA. RefSeq lists it as uncharacterized. The record is from RefSeq and is a predicted model, not a curated record. Lineage: Eukaryota; Metazoa; Chordata; Lepidosauria; Squamata; Sphaerodactylidae. The transcript has 2 exons.